AACGAACGCUGGCGGCAUGCCUAACACAUGCAAGUCGAACGAGACCUUCGGGUCUAGUGGCGCACGGGUGCGUAACGCGUGGGAACCUGCCCUUAGGUUCGGAAUAACUCCCCGAAAGGGGUGCUAAUACCGGAUAAUGUCUUCGGACCAAAGAUUUAUCGCCUUAGGAUGGGCGCGCGUUGGAUUAGCUAGUUGGUAGGGUAAAAGCCUACUAAGGCGACGAUCCAUAGCUGGUCUGAGAGGAUGCUCAGCCACACUGGGACUGAGACACGGCCCAGACUCCUACGGGAGGCAGGAGUGGGGAAUAUUGGACAAUGGGCGAAAGGCUGAUGCAGCAAUGCCGCGUGAGUGAUGAAGUCCUUAGAGUUGUAAAGCUCUUUUACCCGGGAUGAUAAUGACAGUACCGGGAGAAUAAGCUCCGGCUAACUCCGUG
RNAcentral lists this ribosomal RNA (433 nucleotides) under uncultured bacterium. RNAcentral describes it as "partial 16S ribosomal RNA". It matches the Rfam family "Bacterial small subunit ribosomal RNA", at positions 29 to 507 of the family's 1533-position model. The record is from RNAcentral.